This 69-nucleotide transfer RNA is filed under the name Aenictopecheidae sp. PJ-2015. Its description in RNAcentral is "tRNA-Gln". It matches the Rfam family "tRNA". From Rfam's summary of the family: Transfer RNA (tRNA) molecules are approximately 80 nucleotides in length. The record is from RNAcentral. Lineage: Eukaryota; Metazoa; Arthropoda; Insecta; Hemiptera; Aenictopecheidae.
UAUAUUUUAAUGUAUGAAGCAUACAAAAUUUUGAAUUUUGUAGAAUUAGUUUAAAUCUAUUAAAUAUAA